This 484-nucleotide ribosomal RNA is filed under the name uncultured bacterium. RNAcentral's name for it is "partial 16S ribosomal RNA". It matches the Rfam family "Bacterial small subunit ribosomal RNA", at positions 28 to 507 of the family's 1533-position model. The record is from RNAcentral.
AUUGGACGCUGGCGGCAUGCUUUACACAUGCAAGUCGAACGGCAGCGCGGGCUUCGGCCUGGCGGCGAGUGGCGAACGGGUGAGUAAUGCAUCGGAACGUGCCCAGUAGUGGGGGAUAGCCCGGCGAAAGCCGGAUUAAUACCGCAUACGACCUGAGGGUGAAAGCGGGGGACCGAAAGGCCUCGCGCUAUUGGAGCGGCCGAUGUCGGAUUAGCUAGUUGGUGGGGUAAAGGCUUACCAAGGCGACGAUCCGUAGCUGGUCUGAGAGGACGACCAGCCACACUGGGACUGAGACACGGCCCAGACUCCUACGGGAGGCAGCAGUGGGGAAUUUUGGACAAUGAGGGCAACCCUGAUCCAGCCAUGCCGCGUGCGGGAAGAAGGCCUUCGGGUUGUAAACCGCUUUUGUUCGGGAAGAAAUCCUCUGGGCUAAUACCCCGGGGGGAUGACGGUACCGGAAGAAUAAGCACCGGCUAACUACGUG